UGGAUUAGUGGCGAACGGGUGAGUAACACGUGAGUAACCUGCCCUUGACUCUGGGAUAAGCGUUGGAAACGACGUCUAAUACCGGAUACGAGCUGAGACCGCAUGGUCAUUAGCUGGAAAGAACUUCGGUCAAGGAUGGACUCGCGGCCUAUCAGCUAGUUGGUGAGGUAACGGCUCACCAAGGCGACGACGGGUAGCCGGCCUGAGAGGGUGACCGGCCACACUGGGACUGAGACACGGCCCAGACUCCUACGGGAGGCAGCAGUGGGGAAUAUUGCACAAUGGGCGAAAGCCUGAUGCAGCAACGCCGCGUGAGGGACGACGGCCUUCGGGUUGUAAACCUCUUUUAGCAGGGAAGAAGCGAAAGUGACGGUACCUGCAGAAAAAGCACCGGCUAACUACGUGCCAGCAGCCGCGGUAAUACGUAGGGUGCAAGCGUUGUCCGGAAUUAUUGGGCGUAAAGAGCUCGUAGGCGGUUUGUCGCGUCUGCUGUGAAAACGCGAGGCUCAACCUCGCGCCUGCAGUGGGUACGGGCAAACUAGAGUGCGGUAGGGGAGAUUGGAAUUCCUGGUGUAGCGGUGGAAUGCGCAGAUAUCAGGAGGAACACCGAUGGCGAAGGCAGAUCUCUGGGCCGUAACUGACGCUGAGGAGCGAAAGCAUGGGGAGCGAACAGGAUUAGAUACCCUGGUAGUCCAUGCCGUAAACGUUGGGAACUAGAUGUAGGGA
This 726-nucleotide ribosomal RNA is filed under the name Microcella putealis. RNAcentral describes it as "bacterial SSU rRNA". It matches the Rfam family "Bacterial small subunit ribosomal RNA", at positions 88 to 828 of the family's 1533-position model. Lineage: Bacteria; Bacillati; Actinomycetota; Actinomycetes; Micrococcales; Microbacteriaceae. The record is from RNAcentral.